This 909-nucleotide ribosomal RNA is filed under the name Phoma herbarum. Its description in RNAcentral is "LSU rRNA". It matches the Rfam family "Eukaryotic large subunit ribosomal RNA", at positions 38 to 964 of the family's 3401-position model. The record is from RNAcentral. Lineage: Eukaryota; Fungi; Ascomycota; Dothideomycetes; Pleosporales; Didymellaceae.
GCAUAUCAAUAAGCGGAGGAAAAGAAACCAACAGGGAUUGCCCUAGUAACGGCGAGUGAAGCGGCAACAGCUCAAAUUUGAAAUCUGGCGUCUUUGGCGUCCGAGUUGUAAUUUGCAGAGGGCGCUUUGGCAUUGGCAGCGGUCCAAGUUCCUUGGAACAGGACGUCACAGAGGGUGAGAAUCCCGUACGUGGUCGCUAGCCUUUACCGUGUAAAGCCCCUUCGACGAGUCGAGUUGUUUGGGAAUGCAGCUCUAAAUGGGAGGUAAAUUUCUUCUAAAGCUAAAUACUGGCCAGAGACCGAUAGCGCACAAGUAGAGUGAUCGAAAGAUGAAAAGCACUUUGGAAAGAGAGUUAAAAAGCACGUGAAAUUGUUGAAAGGGAAGCGCUUGCAGCCAGACUUGCCUGUAGUUGCUCAUCCGGGUUUUUACCCGGUGCACUCUUCUAUAGGCAGGCCAGCAUCAGUUUGGGCGGUUGGAUAAAGGUCUCUGUCAUGUACCUCUCUUCGGGGAGAACUUAUAGGGGAGACGACAUGCAACCAGCCUGGACUGAGGUCCGCGCAUCUGCUAGGAUGCUGGCGUAAUGGCUGUAAGCGGCCCGUCUUGAAACACGGACCAAGGAGUCUAACAUCUAUGCGAGUGUUUGGGUGUCAAGCCCGAACGCGUAAUGAAAGUGAACGGAGGUGGGAACCUUUCGGGGUGCACCAUCGACCGAUCCUGAUGUCUUCGGAUGGAUUUGAGUAAGAGCAUAGCUGUUGGGACCCGAAAGAUGGUGAACUAUGCUUGAAUAGGGUGAAGCCAGAGGAAACUCUGGUGGAGGCUCGCAGCGGUUCUGACGUGCAAAUCGAUCGUCAAAUUUGGGCAUAGGGGCGAAAGACUAAUCGAACUAUCUAGUAGCUGGGUUCCUGCCGA